UGAGCGGGGGGCUAAUACAUGCAAGUCGAGCGAAUGGAUUAAGAGCUUGCUCUUAUGAAGUUAGCGGCGGACGGGUGAGUAACACGUGGGUAACCUGCCCAUAAGACUGGGAUAACUCCGGGAAACCGGGGCUAAUACCGGAUAACAUUUUGAACCGCAUGGUUCGAAAUUGAAAGGCGGCUUCGGCUGUCACUUAUGGAUGGACCCGCGUCGCAUUAGCUAGUUGGUGAGGUAACGGCUCACCAAGGCAACGAUGCGUAGCCGACCUGAGAGGGUGAUCGGCCACACUGGGACUGAGACACGGCCCAGACUCCUACGGGAGGCAGCAGUAGGGAAUCUUCCGCAAUGGACGAAAGUCUGACGGAGCAACGCCGCGUGAGUGAUGAAGGCUUUCGGGUCGUAAAACUCUGUUGUUAGGGAAGAACAAGUGCUAGUUGAAUAAGCUGGCACCUUGACGGUACCUAACCAGAAAGCCACGGCUAACUACGUGCCAGCAGCCGCGGUAAUACGUAGGUGGCAAGCGUUAUCCGGAAUUAUUGGGCGUAAAGCGCGCGCAGGUGGUUUCUUAAGUCUGAUGUGAAAGCCCACGGCUCAACCGUGGAGGGUCAUUGGAAACUGGGAGACUUGAGUGCAGAAGAGGAAAGUGGAAUUCCAUGUGUAGCGGUGAAAUGCGUAGAGAUAUGGAGGAACACCAGUGGCGAAGGCGACUUUCUGGUCUGUAACUGACACUGAGGCGCGAAAGUCGGCCC
RNAcentral lists this ribosomal RNA (749 nucleotides) under Bacillus cereus. RNAcentral's name for it is "bacterial SSU rRNA". It matches the Rfam family "Bacterial small subunit ribosomal RNA", at positions 37 to 766 of the family's 1533-position model. Lineage: Bacteria; Bacillati; Bacillota; Bacilli; Caryophanales; Bacillaceae. The record is from RNAcentral.